AUGAACGCUGGCGGCGUGCCUAAUACAUGCCAGUCGAGCGAACGGACGAGAAGCUUGCUUCUCUGAUGUUAGCGGCGGACGGGUGAGUAACACGUGGAUAACCUACCUAUAAGACUGGGAUAACUUCGGGAAACCGGAGCUAAUACCGGAUAAUAUUUUGAACCGCAUGGUUCAAAAGUGAAAGACGGUCUUGCUGUCACUUAUAGAUGGAUCCGCGCUGCAUUAGCUAGUUGGUAAGGUAACGGCUUACCAAGGCAACGAUGCAUAGCCGACCUGAGAGGGUGAUCGGCCACACUGGAACUGAGACACGGUCCAGACUCCUACGGGAGGCAGCAGUAGGGAAUCUUCCGCAAUGGGCGAAAGCCUGACGGAGCAACGCCGCGUGAGUGAUGAAGGUCUUCGGAUCGUAAAACUCUGUUAUUAGGGAAGAACAUAUGUGUAAGUAACUGUGCACAUCUUGUCGGUACCUAAUCAGAAAGCCACGGCUAACUACGUG
Molecule: ribosomal RNA, 496 nt
Filed under: uncultured bacterium
Lineage: Bacteria
Description: partial 16S ribosomal RNA
Rfam family: Bacterial small subunit ribosomal RNA
Source: RNAcentral